Long non-coding RNA from Spea bombifrons (plains spadefoot toad), 132 nucleotides. RefSeq lists it as uncharacterized. Lineage: Eukaryota; Metazoa; Chordata; Amphibia; Anura; Pelobatidae. The transcript is spliced from 3 exons. The record is from RefSeq and is a predicted model, not a curated record.
UUAAUUUAGGGGCAGUUAUAUUAAUGGGGUGUUUAGGGUUAACUUAGGGGCAGUUAUAGUUAAUGGGUGUUUAGGGUUAAUUUAGGGGCAGUUAUAGUUAAUGGGGUGUUUAGGGGGCAGUUGUGGUUGAUG